AGGGCAGGGGACCAUCUUCAUCCUUAUCCAACUAGAUGAGAUUUCAUUUGAUGGUUAUAGUUAGAUUAUAUACAUUUUUUUUCUAAGAUCAAAAGCUGCAACUUGCAUCAAAUAAAAGUUCAUCAUUCAGGAAUAAGGAAGAAAAAGAAUUCCACUUAUCGAAUCAGACAUAGAAACAGCGGCGCUGUAGCAAUCUUUCUCAAAGUUUAUCCAUUAUCUGUAUCUAAUUACCGGUAAAACCAUCUAUCUAGGACAGUUGUAAACCAGCUAAUUCAGCCGUUCAAUAGCUUUACGUGGGACUUCAUGUGAGAGUUUUGGCGAUAUAUCGUACGGUCUAACU
Molecule: unclassified non-coding RNA, 340 nt
Filed under: Hevea brasiliensis (rubber tree)
Lineage: Eukaryota; Viridiplantae; Streptophyta; Magnoliopsida; Malpighiales; Euphorbiaceae
Source: RNAcentral